Molecule: ribosomal RNA, 297 nt
Filed under: Crotalus triseriatus triseriatus
Lineage: Eukaryota; Metazoa; Chordata; Lepidosauria; Squamata; Viperidae
Description: partial 16S ribosomal RNA
Source: RNAcentral
GCUGACCGAACAACAAACCACAAAUAUACCUUACCAGAUUAAACAAAUCAUUUGACCCACCCAGUAGAGGCGAUCGAACAGUCACAAGUCAUAACAAAGUACCGCAAGGGAACCACCACCAAGCAACAAACAGCAAAGACUAACCCUUGUACCUUUUGCAUCAUGAUUUAGCAAGAUCCCAGGACAAGAAGAAUCACAGCCCACCCCCCGAAACCGAACGAGCUAUUUUUAAGCAGUCUAACGGACGCACCCUUCUAUGUAGCAAAUAGUGGAAAGACUUAAAAAUAGAGGUGAAAG